UCGUCGCGAUCGCCUUACGGCUCAGUAACACGUGGACAACCUGCCCUUGAGAGGGGGAUAACCCCGGGAAACUGGGUAUAAUACCCGAUAGAUCUCGAUUGCUGGAAUGCAUCGAGCUCCAAAGCUCCGGCGCUCAAGGAUGGGUCUGCGGCCUAUCAGGUAGUAGUGGGUGUAGCGUACCUACUAGCCUACGACGGGUACGGGUUGUGAGAGCAAGAGCCCGGAGAUGGAUUCUGAGACACGAAUCCAGGCCCUACGGGGUGCAGCAGGCGCGAAAACUUUACAAUGCUGGAAACAGCGAUAAGGGGACCUCGAGUGCCAGGUUACAAAUCUGGCUGUCGUGAUGCCUAAAAAGCAUUGCAUAGCAAGGGCCGGGCAAGACCGGUGCCAGCCGCCGCGGUAACACCGGCGGCUCGAGUGGUAACCGUUAUUAUUGGGUCUAAAGGGUCUGUAGCCGGCCGGAUAAGUCUCUUGGGAAAUCUGGCAGCUUAACUGUCAGGCUUUCAGGAGAUACUGUCUGGCUCGAGGCCGGGAGAGGUGAGAGGUACUUCAGGGGUAGGGGUGAAAUCUUGGAAUCCUUGAAGGACCACCAGUGGCGAAGGCGUCUCACCAGAACGGACCUGACGGCAAGGGACGAAAGCUAGGGGCACGAAACCGGAUUAGAUACCCGGGUAGUCCUAGCCGUAAACGAUACUCGCUAAGGUGUCGGCAACGGUGCGACCGUUGUCCGGUGCCGUAAGGGAAACCCGUGAAGCGAGCCAACCUGGGAAGUACCGGCCGCAAAGGCUUGAAACUCAAAUGGAUUGGCCGUGUGUAGAUUUCUAUUGAUCUUAAUUUCUUUUUAUGUUGCCAGUAA
RNAcentral lists this ribosomal RNA (856 nucleotides) under uncultured archaeon. Its description in RNAcentral is "bacterial SSU rRNA". It matches the Rfam family "Archaeal small subunit ribosomal RNA", at positions 69 to 916 of the family's 1478-position model. The record is from RNAcentral.